CUCAGAUUCACUCCCGCGUACGCAUCUCCCUCUCCGCAGUGCCCACCCAACGUUCACCCCUCCACUCCUCUGCCCAGCGCCUUUCCCUCUUCCCGGCGCCCUGAGUUCGUCUCUCACCUCUGCACAGCUUCCUAGUGCAUCAUUUGACUCAACAGUGAAUUUAUGGGAUGUGGAACUUGGGAAACUUAUCCACAGCUUGAAAGACACAGGCAUAUCUGUUGAAGAAAAUCCUUUAGAUAUUACAGAGAAUCAAUUGUAUUCUUUCUCCACGACAAUCAAAAUCCCACGCCUGAACCUCCCGGAUGUCGUUGUAGCUGAUUGUCUUGCUAGUCAAGAUCUGGCCUCUAAUUAUCGGAUGCCCAAGCAUGCACGGACUUAGCUCUGCUGACAAUAUGCACGAUGCCAAAGAAAUCCAGCAACUAAAUUCACCGACCAUCUUCAUCUUUAUCCAAGGAAGCUGAUAAAUAGCUCAGGAUGAAUCCAUCCAGAUCUCCUUCAAGGACAGAAUCAGGAUCCGAAACUUCAUAGCUGGUUCGGAGAUCUUUAACCAUGCGGUAGUUAAUGAAAGAAAGUCUUAUUGCAUACAUGAAGCACAUAACUACGUAUCUGGCUGCCCCAAGUAAUGUCAGUGAGUGAUUGUGUAUGUUGCGCAUUCAUCUGAGCCUGGCGAGCCAUCUCAAGCUGGUCCACUCGAGACUGAAGCACGGCCAUUGCUGAAGCCUUGUUUUGAUGUUGUGAUCUGUGUUCAGAACAAAAUUGUAUCUUUUGGAAUUGAGACUUCGAAAUCCACCCAACAAAAAACUAAAGCAGGAAGGAAUGUGAACUAUCCUCACAGCACUCUCAGUCGUAUUAACAUGCUGGCCACCAGCUCCCCCAGCACGAAAUCGCUCAAUACGGAGAUCAGAGUCACUAAUUUGUACAUGGGUAGAUCCAUCACCCGAGAUUGGAAUUACAGCA
Long non-coding RNA from Carya illinoinensis, 957 nucleotides. RefSeq lists it as uncharacterized. Lineage: Eukaryota; Viridiplantae; Streptophyta; Magnoliopsida; Fagales; Juglandaceae. The transcript has 5 exons. The record is from RefSeq and is a predicted model, not a curated record.